CAAAGUUGGUUGGUGUUUUUUUAAAUUUUUUUUUGUGUGCAACAUUUGAAUUUUAAAGUGCGGAAUUCACGCCCAGUGCGCCACGCCCACAACACCAUCGUGUCGUUUUGUACUAUGCAUGUGUUCAUUGUUGUGUCGCCGCGUGACAACGCCACUUUGAUUCGCCAUUGAAAUUGGAAUCCGCUUAUUCUGCCGACGCGCCGCGCCAAAAAAUAAAUAAAUACCAAUAUAGUGAGUGAAGAACGUUUCGUUGUGUGUUUGUGUGUGUGUGUGUGUGUGUAUGUGUGCAGAGCAUACAAAAUAAAAGCAAAACAAUAUUUUCCUAAUUUUCGCGCGCGCACGCGACCAAAGAAAAUCCAACAAAAAAAAAAAAAAAGAUGAAGAAAAAAGAAAGCCCAAAAGCAAAGAAAACUGUCAGCAACAGGCGGACGACGCUGUCAACUGAAGCGCAGCAGGAGCUCCACUCUCGCCUCAGAAGUGCGAGCGAGAAGGGAGAGUAGUAGCUCCACGAACUUGAGAUCAUAUGGUGUGGGUUUGCAAUGUUUCCUUUACCUUUUUUGCGUUCAUCGUGACCGUUUUGCUAUGCUUAACACCUCGUAAAUCUUCAUAACCUGGGCCGCAGAAGAAGCAGAAGGAGCAACUACGCGCUGUCGCUUAUUGAAUCAGCUGCCUUUUGUCUAGAAGCCUUUAAACCAUUUUAGGCUUUUGUAAAUUUACCGCAAUUCUCACCCAAAAAUGCCGCAACGAAAUUCAAAGCUGAAACUCUCUCGUUCUCGUUCUGGGUUUUCGCUCUGGCCAUGCCCAUUAACGUUGGCAAUUAGCGUGCACCUUGGCGUCGCCUGCUUUUGGGACAGUCAGGAAGUUGAAGACAUUUCCGUUAUGAAUACUGCGUAGCGAGAUAGAGCGGAAGAGCGGCAAAGAAGCAUAUUGCCACGGACGGAGAAGAAGGAGGAGGAGGAGGUGGUGCCCCACAACCGGAGCCACAACAAACGCCGGAAUGCCAAACUUUUGCCUUUGAUGGCAAAAAAAAAAACCAAGCGAAAAGGACGCAAUCAGGCAGCACACAGUGGUAAGAACAUCCAAAUGCACAUCCAAAAACGUAAGAAAUACACAUCCAAAUUGUAAUAUUAUAAACAAAAAAGAAAAUGUAUGUAUAAAAAGGCACAUCCAAAUUAUUGUAAUGUUACAAACAAACAAAAAACAACAAAACGUAUCUAAAGAAAACGUAUUUAAC
Molecule: long non-coding RNA, 1234 nt
Organism: Drosophila nasuta
Lineage: Eukaryota; Metazoa; Arthropoda; Insecta; Diptera; Drosophilidae
Exons: 4
Source: RefSeq, a predicted model, not a curated record